CCAAACACGCCUAUAGAAUUUUGUAUAAGGAAAUCCUAAAGUGAAUAAUUAUAUAAUGGAUUUACAUAUUGAAUCUUUUGGAACUUGCUUGGUAUAUAUUUUGAAGCUGUAACGCUGAUUCAUCGUUUCUUCCAUGACAAAAUCCUUGCAGUGAUUAUUGGUGACAAUGGAGACUAAUUAACCAAUAGAUUUAAAAACUUUUGAUUAAUUGUUCAACCCAAUAGCUAAUAAAUGUUGUGUUUGGUAUUAAGCCCACCGAAGUUUCUGUUUUUUAUCUCCCAAGGCAAGUCAAUAUAUUUUACCUGUUUAAGACAAUAAUAGCGUAUUACUGAAGAAAAAAGCGAGAAAAUGACCAAUUU
Schizosaccharomyces pombe (fission yeast) is the source of this 359-nucleotide non-coding RNA. The record is from the annotation of a GenBank genome assembly. Lineage: Eukaryota; Fungi; Ascomycota; Schizosaccharomycetes; Schizosaccharomycetales; Schizosaccharomycetaceae.